This 253-nucleotide ribosomal RNA is filed under the name uncultured bacterium. Its description in RNAcentral is "partial 16S ribosomal RNA". It matches the Rfam family "Bacterial small subunit ribosomal RNA", at positions 524 to 776 of the family's 1533-position model. The record is from RNAcentral.
UACGUAGGGUGCAAGCGUUGUCCGGAAUUACUGGGCGUAAAGAGCUCGUAGGUGGUUUGUCGCGUUGUUCGUGAAAACUCACAGCUCAACUGUGGGCGUGCGGGCGAUACGGGCAGACUAGAGUACUGCAGGGGAGACUGGAAUUCCUGGUGUAGCGGUGGAAUGCGCAGAUAUCAGGAGGAACACCGGUGGCGAAGGCGGGUCUCUGGGCCGAUACUGACGCUGAGGAGCGAAAGCGUGGGGAGCGAACAGG